UAGAGAACAAAGCGGCCAGGGCUGUGCUGACUUGAGGUGAGUCGGAUGUUUGCUUCCUGCUCCGUGUUACAUCAGUUACAGGACAGACUGGAACCUACGUGAUUGCUCAAACCUCUUGUCAUUAUUGUGGGAUGACACUAUUUUGUCAUAGGCUUGCUCCCCCUCUGAUACAAUUCUGAAAUAUAUAUAAAAAUCUGAAGUAAAGCAAAUACCAGGUGGAGGUCAUCUCCUUCAAGCCAGUGAGUCCAGCCCCUGUUCUUCUUCUCACCAAUCUGGACACAGACAAGUUUGUCGUUGUCCCAGGUAACUAAGCUCUGUUGAAGAAGAAACAGUGUUCCUAUACGUUAUCUCAGUUCUGAAGUACACCUAGUAGUUAAUAUCCUUUCUGAUAAAAAAAGAGGACUAAAUACUAUUGUACAGGAAAAUGAAAAUAACUCAGGUUCCUGCCUCUGUAUCACACUAGAAAUAGUAUUCUUGAUAACUUCAGCCAAAGUAGCAAGAUUGAUCAUGGCAUCUUAAUUCUCUAAGAACUUCUUGAUUAUUAUUAUUUUUUAAUAGUCAGUCUUACCUUGCAUUUCCUGUUAUCCAGGCCUUUAUUGUCUUCUUCAAACUCUUCUCCAAUUUUGAAUUGGAGCAUGUAGUCUCUGAAUGUGCUUGUGGUAUGGAUAGAUAACAUGUCCCCAUCCUGUUU
Long non-coding RNA from Cygnus olor (mute swan), 691 nucleotides. RefSeq lists it as uncharacterized. The transcript is spliced from 3 exons. Lineage: Eukaryota; Metazoa; Chordata; Aves; Anseriformes; Anatidae. The record is from RefSeq and is a predicted model, not a curated record.